Long non-coding RNA from Mauremys reevesii (Reeves's turtle), 452 nucleotides. RefSeq lists it as uncharacterized. The transcript is spliced from 3 exons. Lineage: Eukaryota; Metazoa; Chordata; Testudines; Geoemydidae. The record is from RefSeq and is a predicted model, not a curated record.
GUGGUGGAGGAGAAAAGUAUUCAUUAUGGUAGAGCCACUAUAGAGUCUGGGCAGCUCUCUGUGGAAGAUUUCCCAUUGGAGUCUGCACUGAGGUUACAAGAGGUCUUACAGAUUCCAUGAUCACCAGCUGUCUAAGGGAGGAAGCAACAAAAGCAAUCUCAUUGUUUUAUCAAGUAGGGUGGGAUCCAGUCUUUCUAUACAAUACAUGGAUACUAAAUCACUCAAGGUUUAAGAUAUCGAAGGAGGUGAGGGUGAAGGGUUUGAUGAGAGAGUUACUGCAACUACCAAGAAUAGCUCCACAGGUGGGUAAAUAGAACUAUUUACAUUGUGAUUUUUGUAGAAAUGAUGGCUUCCCUUGUUGACACACAGCAGCAGUGGGCUCUCUAGACAUUUAAAAAACAAAAGUUGUACUCUAUAUCUCCUACAGCACCAACUCCUGUCAGACAAUUCGU